This is a long non-coding RNA of Candoia aspera, 720 nucleotides long. RefSeq lists it as uncharacterized. The transcript is spliced from 2 exons. The record is from RefSeq and is a predicted model, not a curated record. NCBI's taxonomy places the organism in Eukaryota, Metazoa, Chordata, Lepidosauria, Squamata, Candoiidae.
GUAAGAUUCACCCUUCUUAAACAGAAUUAGAAGCACCUCUGCAACUUUGCUGCAGCUUCUGAUGAGGGACAACAUCCUUUAUUUCCACCACCGCCCCCUCACCCAAAGCAGCACAUUUGUAACCUAAACCUCACUUUGCAUGCAACAGAAUUCUUCCAAAGAUACUCAUAAAUUUCUCUGCCCUGUUUAAGCAUAUAAUAACCUCCUAUGGUCCUGGAUGUAAAGAAAUAUUGCUAGUCCUAAACUGCAGGUAUGGAGGCAACUGUGUAUAUUUAACCAUUAUCAAAUUGCAUUUGUUCUUCAUUGUCUGCAGAAAGAUAGUACUUUCAGCCACAGGAAGAAGAUACUAUUUAUACCACAGGACCCAAAUUGUCACCUGCGAUGUUUUAAGAACAGCUGUUGAAAACAAAGAAAUGAGCAAGAAGUGAAAUGGCUGCAGGUUGCCAUAGAUUCAAGGGUAUGACCUGUGCAUAUUUAUGGGAUAAAAGGAAAUAUCAGGAUUGGUUUCAGCUGAUGCUAGCAACUUUGGGUUGACAAGGUAGAGAAGGUUAUUCUGCAUAGGAUUACAGCCCAAACUGAUGAAUUGGUUGACUGGGAGUAAAGUAUGCCAUCUACUUUCAACUCCAGGAACCUCUAUUGAACUUCAUAAAGCAAAGUUAUGACUGUUGCCUGAACUUCGUGGAGCACAAAAGGACACCUGAAUAAAACAUGCAAAGAUCA